RNAcentral lists this transfer RNA (75 nucleotides) under bacterium. Its description in RNAcentral is "tRNA-Lys". It matches the Rfam family "tRNA". Rfam says of the family: Transfer RNA (tRNA) molecules are approximately 80 nucleotides in length. Their secondary structure includes four short double-helical elements and three loops (D, anti-codon, and T loops). Further hydrogen bonds mediate the characteristic L-shaped molecular structure. tRNAs have two regions of fundamental functional importance: the anti-codon, which is responsible for specific mRNA codon recognition, and the 3' end, to which the tRNAs corresponding amino acid is attached (by aminoacyl-tRNA synthetases). tRNAs cope with the degeneracy of the genetic code in two manners: having more than one tRNA (with a specific anti-codon) for a particular amino acid; and 'wobble' base-pairing, i.e. permitting non-standard base-pairing at the 3rd anti-codon position. The record is from RNAcentral. RNAcentral also lists the same sequence under 12 other names.
GGCCCGCUAGCUCAAUGGCAGAGCAACUGACUCUUAAUCAGUAGGUUCUCGGUUCGACCCCGAGGCGGGUCACCA